This 253-nucleotide ribosomal RNA is filed under the name uncultured bacterium. RNAcentral's name for it is "partial 16S ribosomal RNA". It matches the Rfam family "Bacterial small subunit ribosomal RNA", at positions 524 to 776 of the family's 1533-position model. The record is from RNAcentral.
UACAGAGGCCUCGAGCGUUAGGCGGAAUUACUGGGCGUAAAGGGCGCGUAGGCGGCCGCCUAAGUCAGACGUGAAAUCCCUCGGCUCAACCGGGGAACUGCGUCUGAUACUGGGUGGCUUGAAUUCGGGAGAGGGAUGCGGAAUUCCAGGUGUAGCGGUGAAAUGCGUAGAUAUCUGGAGGAACACCGGUGGCGAAGGCGGCAUCCUGGACCGAGAUUGACGCUGAGGAGCGAAAGCGUGGGGAGCGAACAGG